AGUUUGAUCAUGGCUCAGAUUGAACGCUGGCGGCAGGCCUAACACAUGCAAGUCGAACGGUAACAUUUCUAGCUUGCUAGAAGAUGACGAGUGGCGGACGGGUGAGUAAUGCUUGGGAACUUGCCUUUGCGAGGGGGAUAACAGUUGGAAACGACUGCUAAUACCGCAUAAUGUCUUCGGACCAAACGGGGCUUCGGCUCCGGCGCAAAGAGAGGCCCAAGUGAGAUUAGCUAGUUGGUAAGGUAACGGCUUACCAAGGCGACGAUCUCUAGCUGUUCUGAGAGGAAGAUCAGCCACACUGGGACUGAGACACGGCCCAGACUCCUACGGGAGGCAGCAGUGGGGAAUAUUGCACAAUGGGGGGAACCCUGAUGCAGCCAUGCCGCGUGUGUGAAGAAGGCCUUCGGGUUGUAAAGCACUUUCAGUUGUGAGGAAAAGUUAGUAGUUAAUACCUGCUAGCCGUGACGUUAACAACAGAAGAAGCACCGGCUAACUCCGUGCCAGCAGCCGCGGUAAUACGGAGGGUGCGAGCGUUAAUCGGAAUUACUGGGCGUAAAGCGCACGCAGGCGGUUUGUUAAGCUAGAUGUGAAAGCCCCGGGCUCAACCUGGGAUGGUCAUUUAGAACUGGCAGACUAGAGUCUUGGAGAGGGGAGUGGAAUUCCAGGUGUAGCGGUGAAAUGCGUAGAUAUCUGGAGGAACAUCAGUGGCGAAGGCGACUCCCUGGCCAAAGACUGACGC
Molecule: ribosomal RNA, 739 nt
Filed under: uncultured bacterium
Lineage: Bacteria
Description: bacterial SSU rRNA
Rfam family: Bacterial small subunit ribosomal RNA
Source: RNAcentral